RNAcentral lists this ribosomal RNA (784 nucleotides) under uncultured bacterium. Its description in RNAcentral is "bacterial SSU rRNA". It matches the Rfam family "Bacterial small subunit ribosomal RNA", at positions 28 to 790 of the family's 1533-position model. The record is from RNAcentral.
AACGAACGCUGGCGGCGUGGAUAAGACAUGCAAGUCGAGCGGGAUUUUCUUUGGUAGCAAUACCGAGGAAAAUUCAGCGGCGAACGGGUGCGUAACACGUGGGCAAUCUGCCUUGAAGUGUGGGAUAGCUCGGCGAAAGCCGGAUUAAUACCGCAUGUGGCUACUGGAGACAUCUUCGGGACGCUAAAGGUGGCGCAAGCUACCGCUUUUUGAGGAGCCCGCGGCCUAUCAGCUUGUUGGUGAGGUAACGGCUCACCAAGGCGUUGACGGGUAGCUGGUCUGAGAGGACGACCAGCCACACUGGGACUGAGACACGGCCCAGACACCUACGGGUGGCAGCAGUCGAGAAUUUUUGACAAUGGGGGAAACCCUGAUCGAGCGACGCCGCGUGGAGGAUGAAGGUCUUCGGGUUGUAAACUCCUGUCAUUUGGGAACAAGGCGUAGGUAUUAACUGUGCCUACGUUGAUAGUACCAGAAGAGGAAGAGACGGCUAACUCUGUGCCAGCAGCCGCGGUAAUACAGAGGUCUCAAGCGUUGUUCGGAUUCAUUGGGCGUAAAGGGUGUGUAGGUGGCGCGCUAAGUCGGGUGUGAAAUUUCGGAGCUUAACUCCGAAACUGCAUUCGAUACUGGCGUGCUUGAGGACUGGAGAGGAGACUGGAAUUUACGGUGUAGCAGUGAAAUGCGUAGAUAUCGUAAGGAAGACCAGUGGCGAAGGCGGGUCUCUGGACAGUUCCUGACACUGAGACACGAAGGCCAGGGGAGCAAACGGGAUUAGAUACCCCGG